Long non-coding RNA from Pan paniscus (pygmy chimpanzee), 408 nucleotides. Lineage: Eukaryota; Metazoa; Chordata; Mammalia; Primates; Hominidae. The record is from Ensembl.
AUUUAUUUACGAAUAAAUAGGUUGUAUCAACUAACAGUAAAACAGCUGGAACAAUAAAAGUGAAAAUUAAUGUCUUUGCAUAUGAUUUCUUGUCCCAGUUGGUGUUUUCAUGUGUCCUGGGUUUGUAUUUCAGAUUGGACUGUUUUGGAUGGUAAAAGUCCAGCUGGUAGACAGUCCUGUAAGGGGAAAGAAAGAGCAAAGACAGUUCUCUGCAGCCAAUUCAGAAAUGGGCACCCUGUGCUACUCAGAAUUUUGGUAGGAAGAUGCCAGCCUGUGAAGACAAUGCUUCUUCAAUUUAACUGACUAAGGUUUUCCUGCAGAAGAGGUUCAAAACAUAUGACUGAUGCAGAAACAAGAGCUGGCUCAGAUGACACACAGAGGAAGAACCAAACAGCAUCGACAGCCUCC